RNAcentral lists this ribosomal RNA (467 nucleotides) under uncultured bacterium. RNAcentral describes it as "partial 16S ribosomal RNA". It matches the Rfam family "Bacterial small subunit ribosomal RNA", at positions 29 to 507 of the family's 1533-position model. The record is from RNAcentral.
ACGCACGCUGGCGGCGUGCUUAACACCUGCCAGUCGCACGGAAAGGCCCUGCUUUUGUGGGGUGCUCGAGUGGCGAACGGGUGAGUAACACGUGAGUAACCUGCCCUUGACUUUGGGAUAACUUCAGGAAACUGGGGCUAAUACCGGAUAGGAGCUCCUGCUGCCUGGUGGGGGUUGGAAAGUUUCGGCGGUUGGGGAUGGACUCGCGGCUUAUCAGCUUGUUGGUGGGGUAGUGGCUUACCAAGGCUUUGACGGGUAGCCGGCCUGAGAGGGUGACCGGCCACAUUGGGACUGAGAUACGGCCCAGACUCCUACGGGAGGCAGCAGUGGGGAAUAUUGCACAAUGGGCGGAAGCCUGAUGCAGCAACGCCGCGUGCGGGAUGACGGCCUUCGGGUUGUAAACCGCUUUCGCCUGUGACGAAGCGUGAGUGACGGUAAUGGGUAAAGAAGCACCGGCUAACUACGUG